Molecule: non-coding RNA, 435 nt
Organism: Cyanistes caeruleus (blue tit)
Lineage: Eukaryota; Metazoa; Chordata; Aves; Passeriformes; Paridae
Source: RefSeq, a predicted model, not a curated record
GCUUGUGUUUUCAGAGGUAGAGGACCCCAGUGGAUCACAGCCAAAAUGUAAAGCCCGACCUGUAUCCACUCUGUGAACAACCACAGGAAGAAUCCCCAAAAGAACAGGAAAUAGAAGUGGCUGAAAGAAUAUCUACAGACAACAUAUCUUAACUGUUUGCCUUUUACUUUACAGAUUAUUUUCCAGAACAUGGCAUUUAAAGGACUCCUUAUGGCACUUGGAAUAUUCAAGAUCCUGCUCCUCAAUGAUGGCUGAGUAGUCCUGCAGCUGAAGCAGACAUAGCUGCAAGGACUUCAAGAGCAUGUGUUGCAUGAACCUAUCUGAACACAGAAGCCAGGUUUGAGUAAGGCUAUUGGAAUUAAUUUUUAACUCAUGAAAGUAGCAUUGAAAAUCACCAUGAAGAACUAAAUAAACAGCUUGAUUUUCUGUUGCAUA